Molecule: ribosomal RNA, 301 nt
Filed under: uncultured bacterium
Lineage: Bacteria
Description: partial 16S ribosomal RNA
Rfam family: Bacterial small subunit ribosomal RNA
Source: RNAcentral
CAGUAGCCACGGGAAUACGUAGGUGGCAAGCGUUGUCCGGAUUUAUUGGGCGUAAAGCGAGCGCAGGCGGUCAAUUAAGUCUGAUGUGAAAGCCCCCGGCUCAACCGGGGAGGGUCAUUGGAAACUGGUUGACUUGAGUGCGGAAGAGGAGAGUGGAAUUCCAUGUGUAGCGGUGAAAUGCGUAGAUAUAUGGAGGAACACCAGUGGCGAAGGUGACUCUCUGGUCUGUAACUGACGCUGAGGCUCGAAAGCGUGGGUAGCAAACAGGAUUAGAUACCCCGUAGUCCCUGUCUCUUAUACA